GACGAACGCUGGCGGCGUGCUUAACACAUGCAAGUCGAGCGGUAAGGCCCUUUCGGGGGUACACGAGCGGCGAACGGGUGAGUAACACGUGGGUGACCUGCCCUCAGCUCUGGGAUAAGCCUGGGAAACUGGGUCUAAUACUGGAUAUGACUCCACGGUGCAUGUCGUGGGGUGGAAAGCCUUGUGCGGCUGAGGAUGGGCCCGCGGCCUAUCAGCUUGUUGGUGGGGGAUGGCCUACCAAGGCGACGACGGGUAGCCGGCCUGAGAGGGCGACCGGCCACACUGGGACUGAGACACGGCCCAGACUCCUACGGGAGGCAGCAGUGGGGAAUCUUGCGCAAUGGGCGAAAGCCUGACGCAGCGACGCCGCGUGAGGGAUGACGGCCUCGGUGU
RNAcentral lists this ribosomal RNA (393 nucleotides) under uncultured bacterium. RNAcentral describes it as "bacterial SSU rRNA". It matches the Rfam family "Bacterial small subunit ribosomal RNA", at positions 28 to 423 of the family's 1533-position model. The record is from RNAcentral.